AUGCAUGGGCGGCGCCAAGGCUGCGGUGAGGGGUGCGGCGACCGGCGUCCUUUCGUCCGGCACAUGUGGCCGGCAACUCGCGUAGAGGCAGCUCCACCACCGGCAAAGGGACCAGCCUCCCCUCCUCCUCCUCCCCGCUCGUCUCUUCCACCGCUCCGGACGACCUCUUAUCCACCCGCACCGACGACUCCCCCGGCGGCACCCCACAAGCAGGAGGCCGCCGAUUCACCCCGUCCGCCCUCAGCAGACUCCUUCCUAAAGGACGGGCGUGAAUUUCGUGUUGGAGAUUGUGCACUUUUUCAGGCUGUUGAUGUUCCUCCUUUCAUUGGGUUAAUACGCUGGAUUGAGAAAAAAGAAGAAGGCUUUCCUAAGUUACGUGUAAGUUGGCUCUAUAGAUCUGCUGACGUCAAACUUAACAAGGCAAUACCGCUCAACGCUGCACCAAACGAGAUCUUCUAUUCAUUCCACCAGGACGAGACAUCUGCUGUCUCUCUACUACAUCCUUGCAAAGUUGCCUUUUUACGCAAAGGCGUCGAGCUGCCAGCCGGAAUUUCUUCAUUUGUGUGUCGGCGUGUAUAUGAUAUUGACAACAAGUGUUUAUGGUGGCUUACCGACAAAGACUAUAUUAAUGAACGGCAGGAAGAAGUAAAUCGACUUCUGCAUAGAACAAGGUUAGAAAUGCAUGCUGCAGUACAGUCAGGUGGACGCUCACCGAAGCGGCUAAAUAGUCCGUCAUCUGCCCAGCAGAAGGCCGGUUUGGAUGAUGGACAAAAUUGUAUUUUAUCUAAAGGAAAGAAGAGGGACAGAGUUGAGCAAGGAAUUGAUCCAGCUACGCGAGACCGUGAUCGUCCCCUUAAGGUCGAAGAAGGUGAACUGGGGAACUUAAAGGCAGAAAAUAUGAAGCAUGCAUUUACAAAGUUUAUUGCGAAGUUCACAGACAAAGGCGGGCUUCCUCAUGCUGAAGCAGUCGAGAAGCUAGUCCAGUUCAUGCAAGUUGAUCGAACUGAACGGAAGAUAGACCUUGGUGGUCGAGUAGCACUUGCACAUAUUAUUUCAGCUACAGAAAGUCCUGUUUGCCUCGGGAGAUUUGUGCAGCUAAGGGGCCUUCCUAUUUUGAAUGAGUGGCUUCAGGAAACUCACAAGGGGAAGUCUGGUGAAGGGGGUAGUCCUAAAGAAACUGAUAAGCGUGUUGAAGAAUUUCUCAUGGCCCUGCUCCGUGCUCUCUCAAGAUUGCCUAUCAAUUUGAAUGCCUUGCAGAGUUGCAGUAUUGGGAAAUCUGUCAAUCAUCUGCGUAGCCAUAAAAGUGCUGAGAUACAGAAGAGGGCGAAGUGUCUUGUUGAAAACUGGAAAAAGCGUGUUGAUGCUGAAAUGAAGUCAAAUGAAGCCAAACCUUUAGUAUCUGGUCAAGCUGUUUCCUGGUCAGGGAAAGGGGGCGCUGCAGAAGUUUCUAAUGGUGGAAACAGACGAAGCGCCUCAAGUGAGGCCAGUCCGAAAAACCCAGUAUCUCGGACAGCUAAACCUGGUGCAUCCGAUGCUGUUACGAAGUCGAAUCCGCUCACUUCCUGCUCUUCAAAGUUGCAACACAUGCAGCCUGCAAAUUUUGCAACCAACUCGAAGGAUCCACCCUGCAAAUCGGCUGGUGGUUCUGAGUUGCCAACAGUGAAAGAGGAGAAAAGCAGCAGUUCAAGCCAAUCACUGAACAACAGUCACUCAUGCUCCAGUGAUCAUGCAAGAACAUUUGGUUCUCCUUGGAAGGAGGAUGCGAGAAGUUCUACUGCUGCUUCUGGCAAUGCUAGUAAAACUUCCGGGAGCUCUUCACGCGUCCAUCGAAGGGCAAACAGUGUCCGUCUUGGUUCUGGGAUACAAAAAGAAGCUACUGCGGGAAGAUCUGCCUCACUCGAUCGUUCGUCGUUCCAGGAAAAAUCAUCACAAUCUGGAAUGGCGUCUGAAAAAGGAGGCGACACACCUUCUGAUAAUAACAGUAAUGGCCAUAGGUUGAUUGUCCGCUUUCCAAAUCCUAGCCGUAGUCCUGCUAGAAGUGUGAGCGGAGGCUCAUUUGAGGACCCGUCUGUCACCGGGAGUAGAUCUUCAUCUCCUGUAGAUAAGCAUGAACAGAAUGGUCGGCGGGUGAAAAUGAAGAUCGAAAAUUCUCGACCCGAGUUAGCUUCUGAUGCUAAUGCUGAGUCUUGGCAUAGCAAUGAGAUAAAAGGGGUUGCAGGGUCUGAUGAAGGUGAUAAAUCAGCAUUCCCUACAUUGGAGAGCAACAGGAAUACUGAAGAAGCUGUUAAGGAGGCAUGUGCAUCACGGCCUGCAAGUUCGUCGCAAGUGAAUGAGAAAGGAAUCUGUUCAAGUGAAACCAAGGGGAACUCAUUCAACCCUAUGAAUGCUUUAAUUGAAAUAAAAUACUCUGAAGCUGGUCCUCCUCUGCAAGCUGGAGAUGAUACCGCAAUGAACCUUCUUGCCAGUGUGGCUGGAGAAAUAUCUAAAUCCGACUUAAUUUCUCCGUCAGCUUCACCGAGAAAUUCAUCUGCAAAUGAAGUGGGCUGUGAAGGCGACAGCAUUGAGAAGUUGAAAGUAGAACGUGACAUUGCCCCUUCUCAGCUUCAAGGUUCCUCAGAUGUUCAGAAGGUCAUUUUGGUGAAGCAAGAGAAAGCUGAUCCUUGUUUGAUUGCCAAGGAGGAACGUAAUCAGAGGGCUCACUUAUCAUUGCACGACAACAAAAUCACAACAUCUACUGGGCUGUCACCUCAAAAUGGUACAGACUGUAAUGCCGUCGAAUCUUCAGCGAAGACUGAAAACCAAGCGGAGGGUUGCGCAGACAAGUGUCUUCCUGUACCUGGGGCUGAUUCACAAGGUCAAGAUCGUAAUGCAUGUUCCAGCCGUGGGCCAGUUGAAGAUGGUCGCAUAAGCAGCCCUGAUGUCGUUGGCACUGCUUUAGGUGGUCAAUGCAAUUCAGCUGUUUCUAAUCGCACGUCAGAAUUGCUCCCUCCUGAGGAGUUGCAAUUGUCUGCCCCUGAUAAACAGCCCCAUGCCUUGUUAAAGCAAACUGAUAAAAAACCGCUUGGGGUUGUACUAGAUCAGUUGGAAGCCAUGGAUACACGUGAUGGCAGUACUGGUAGUAAAUUGGAUUUGAAGUCUUCAGUGUGUCCACUGGUUGUUGGUCCCACAAAGGCUGAAGUCUUGGGUGUUAACACAGUGCUGAAAGAGGACGAAAAGGAGCAGCCUUCUUCCACUUCAGCUGAUGUUAACAAGCUAUUUGCAUUCCCAGUUGAUGUGCCGAACGGGAUUAAAGAAUCAAAGGAUAGUUCCAGUGAAUCGAGUAGUCAAGUAAAACCUCGAGCUAUCAUAUCUCAGGAUUUUGAGCAUGAUGCAAGUCAGAGUCCAAAGAAACUGAGCGAUGAUGUCGGUGCAAAAGAGGAUCUUGUCUCAUCAGGUGAGGGUUCUUCUAUGGCGGCCCAGGCCAAACCAAAUGUUACUGCUAAGCUUGAUUUUGAUUUGAAUGAACUUGGGGAUGAAGGGAAUCACUCUGAGCCAGUUACCUCUCCUGUUAUAUGUACUUCUGGGAUCCAUGUACCUGGCCUUUCUCCAUUCGUAUCACCUGUUCUAAGUGGUUUGCCUGCCCCAAUAACAGUAGCAGCUCCAGCUAAAGGACCUUUUGUUCCUCCUGAGAAUCUACUACGAGUGAAGCCUGAGGCUGGGUGGAAAGGCUCAGCAGCUACAAGUGCAUUUCGUCCUGCAGAACCACGGAAGGUUGUGGGGACAUCUCUGACUGCACCUGAUAUUGUAGGAUCUGAUGCUGCUGGGAAGCGGUCUCGCCCUGCGUUUGACAUUGAUCUAAAUGUAGCAGAUGACCAGAUUCUCGAGGAAGAUAUCUCUCAGAGUUCUGCUCAGACAGUUGGAUCUGAAUCUGGCAACAGUAGAAGUCGCGAUGGUCCUGUGCGAAGCGCUGGCAUUGAACUUGACUUGAAUAGGGCUGAUGAAGUUGCUGAGAAUAACCAGUUUAUCUCAAACUCUUCCAACAGAGUUGAAGUCACAUUGUUGCCAGCAAGAUCUUUGCCAGGAGGUUUACCGAGUACUAGUAUGAAUGGCUCAAAGAACUUCUUUGAUCUCAAUAAUGGACCAAGCCUUGAUGAAGCUAGCACAGAGCCUGCACAAAGGAGUCUAUCAUCUAAAGGUGCUAGCAGCAUACCAUUCCUUCCUCAAGUUGCUGGUCUUAGAAUGAACGGCACAGAAAUCAAUAACAUGUCACCAUGGUUUGCUUCUGCCAACCCAUAUGCUCCUGUAGCUAUGCAAUCGUUUUUGCCUGCUAGAGGAGAACAGCCUUAUCCAAUUGAAACAGCAUCUGGAACCCAGAGGAUGAUUGUGUCUGCUGCAGACAGCUGCCAAUUCGGAAGUGAUUCAGGCAGGGCUCCAGUUGUUUCCACACCACCAACAAUGGUGUUUCACCCUCCUCCUGCAUAUCAAUAUGCAGGAUUUCCUUUCACCCCCAGUGUUCACCUUCAGACAGCAGGUUUUCCAAUUGGAUCGACGUCAUAUGCCAAUUCUGCACCUGCAGGAGUUUCAUACUUUCCAACCAUUGCGCCGUCACUUGUUGGGUCAACGGGUGCAUUACCUCCCCAACAUGUGAGGCAAUAUGCAAUAAACCGUCCUGAAGGUAGCAGUAGUGAUGGUCUCGACAGUAAUUGGAAAUGGAAAAGACCAGGAGGGUUUGAUCUUAAUUCUGGUCCCGGGAGUAUAGAUUUAGAAGGGAAGGAUGAACGGAUACUUUCAUCGGUUAGACAAAAUUUGAUGACGCCGCAGCAGGCCUUUGCAGAGGAGCAAACGAGAAUGUACCAAUUGCCUGGUGUAGGAAUAAAGAGGAAGGAACCUGAGGGCAGUUGGGAUCCCGAUAGAUCAUCAUACAAGCAAUUGUCAUGGCAGUAA
This 4923-nucleotide ribosomal RNA is filed under the name Triticum aestivum (bread wheat). RNAcentral's name for it is "partial small subunit ribosomal RNA". The record is from RNAcentral. Lineage: Eukaryota; Viridiplantae; Streptophyta; Magnoliopsida; Poales; Poaceae.